Molecule: ribosomal RNA, 253 nt
Filed under: uncultured bacterium
Lineage: Bacteria
Description: partial 16S ribosomal RNA
Rfam family: Bacterial small subunit ribosomal RNA
Source: RNAcentral
UACGGAGGGAGCUAGCUGUUGGUCGAAUUACUGGGCGUAAAGCGCGCGUAGGCGGCUUUGUAAGUUAGAGGUGAAAGCCCGGGGCUCAACCCCGGAACUGCCUUUAAGACUGCAUCGCUUGAAUCCAGGAGAGGUGAGUGGAAUUCCGAGUGUAGAGGUGAAAUUCGUAGAUAUUCGGAAGAACACCAGUGGCGAAGGCGGCUCACUGGACUGGUAUUGACGCUGAGGUGCGAAAGCGUGGGGAGCAAACAGG